CGCGGGCCUAUCAGCUUGUUGGCGGGGUAACGGCCCACCAAGGCGACGACGGGUAGCUGGCGUGAGAGCGUGGCCAGCCACACUGGGACUGAGACACGGCCCAGACUCCUACGGGAGGCAGCAGUGGGGAAUCUUGCACAAUGGGCGAAAGCCUGAUGCAGCGACGCCGCGUGAGGGACGAAGGCCCUCGGGUUGUAAACCUCUUUCGGCAGGGAAGAAGCGAAAGUGACGGUACCUGCAGAAGAAGCCCCGGCUAACUACGUGCCAGCAGCCGCGGUAAGACGUAGGGGGCGAGCGUUGUCCGGAUUUAUUGGGCGUAAAGCGCGCGUAGGCGGUCCGUUAAGUCGGUUGUGAAAACCCGGGGCUCAACCCCGGGCCUGCAUCCGAUACUGGCGGACUCGAGGCAGGUAGGGGAGAGUGGAAUUCCCGGUGUAGCGGUGAAAUGCGCAGAUAUCGGGAGGAACACCGGUGGCGAAGGCGGCUCUCUGGGCCUGUCCUGACGCUGAGGCGCGAAAGCUAGGGGAGCAAACAGGAUUAGAUACCCUGGUAGUCCUAGCCGUAAACGUUGGGUGCUAGGUGUGGGAUGGCGAUUGACCCGUUCCGUGCCGAAGCUAACGCAUUAAGCACCCCGCCUGGGGAGUACGG
This 645-nucleotide ribosomal RNA is filed under the name uncultured actinomycete. Its description in RNAcentral is "bacterial SSU rRNA". It matches the Rfam family "Bacterial small subunit ribosomal RNA", at positions 231 to 885 of the family's 1533-position model. Lineage: Bacteria; Bacillati; Actinomycetota; Actinomycetes; Actinomycetales. The record is from RNAcentral.